UUCUUAUGUCUGUUACAGAGAAUUGCAAUUGCUGAAUUACCACACUUACCACACAUUAUCUGUUCCUAAAUAUUUUAUCAAAAAGGAUGUAGCACAUAUUUCAUCAAAAAGGAUGUAGCACAUCAAUGCUACAAUGCUAUAUGUAUUGUUGUGGGUUGAUUUAUUUAUUUAUUUAUUUAUUUGUCAUCACAAAUUUACAUGUCAAUACUGUCCUUGGCUAGCAACAUAUUUGCUUCUUAUGAUGUCAAGAAGUUCCACAGUGGGACAUGUGCAACCCAUAGCAUCUUGCCAGUUUACCCUAAAGCAUGGGUCAGGAGUUAAUAGGGCACAGUCCACUAAACUGCUCAGGCAGCAUCUUUUGAAUUGACAGAAAAAAGUUCAAUUUACUAAGGAAAACUGAAAUUGAUGGUGGUUUACCUUAAUAUGAUAGUCUGUAAACUGCUGUGGUUCAUUAUUUCAGAAGUAUCUGAGCAGCCUCAGCAGCUGGCUCAGCAGCAGCACAGGACUGGGGAGAGGCCCUCUGUGAGGUAGCAUGGACCUCACAGAGGUCAAACCCAAAACCUUUGUUGCAGGAGACAAGAUCAAAGGCUGGGAGAGUGGCUUGGACUGCAGUGCUAUUCAGGGGAUGAGUGUUUUUGCAGUUGAGAUUUUGGGAUUGCCUUUUCUCUGGGACUGAAUUCAAAUGCAAUCACGAAGCUGAAACAGUGCAUCUGUUCCCACUAGUACUGCAGACAUAAGCUUAACAUCUUGAGAAGUCAUGGGAAAAAUAAGCAUUUCCUGGCAAGCACUGUGUGAAGUAACCAUCCUUUUGGCAAAGAGAAGCUCAGCUUAUACCAAAAUGGAUGUCAUUUUCAAGCUAUGCAGUGGGAUGGUCUGGCAAGAAACUGGACUGGAUUACCUCUUGGUUAGGUCUUUUAACAGAACUUCUAGUGUUUACAGGGAUUUCUUCAUUUGUAGACCACUGUUGGUGAUAAAAACCUUUAGUCACUUGGGAUCUCAUCUGCCUAAACCUGUCCUGAGGAGAGAAGCAUGA
Molecule: long non-coding RNA, 1033 nt
Filed under: Anser brachyrhynchus (Pink-footed goose)
Lineage: Eukaryota; Metazoa; Chordata; Aves; Anseriformes; Anatidae
Description: lncRNA (ENSABRG00000010150.1)
Source: RNAcentral